GAGAAUGUCAUUAGGAUCAUUGUUGUCAGAGAACCCCCUGCGAGUGUCUCCAAUUUUGAUGUUUAGUAGAUGUUUGCUGUGGGAGCUCUCGACUGUUGUUCCCGGGAAUUUUUAGUGUUUCCAGUCAUGGUCAUUUGCACAUAGCCACAAGUCCACUCACAGGAAAUGUUGGUUAUCAGUGAGAUGCCACUAUUCAGAUUGUGAGUGCAUCCAUAAUAUCUUUCUCUUAUUUGCUAGGCCGAAGAUGGUGUUAGUGAUUGCGAGCUGCUGGCUGGCACCCUUGCAGAGCAGGAGUAAAGCGCCAGUGUUGUCAGCCCAGUGCUGCAUAAGCUGUUGUUCAACAAAUGGACUUUGGCCGAGUCCUGUGGUGCCGCGUGUGUUUCUCAACAGUUUACUCGUUUAUCUUGUGGAUUGCUUCAUAGUAUGGUGUGCUGUUGCCGUCUGCCACACCUGUGUUACAGGGUAAGAGGAAGUUUUCCAUUUGCUUGCACAGUGUCAUCACAGAAGUGUAAGCCCUUGAAACACAACAAACCAAUGCAGUUUGUCUGGCAAAAGGCAGGCAGUCUCUAGAUCACCUCUUCUCCUGUCCUCUUCUCCAUUGGGAGUGCGUACUGCAGCCCUGAGCAGGACAAUACAUAUGGCCAAGGGACAGGCAGAGAACCCUGUGGAAAGGAGGUCCCACCUGUUUGCAUAGAACUGUGGAACUGGGAUACACCUGCCCUCAUCAGACUUAAGUUAUGUGACCUCUGAAAGAAGGGUGAUGUGGAGCCAUCUGACCUG
This 780-nucleotide long non-coding RNA is filed under the name Homo sapiens (human). RNAcentral's name for it is "non-protein coding lnc-SPATA18-2:3". Lineage: Eukaryota; Metazoa; Chordata; Mammalia; Primates; Hominidae. The record is from RNAcentral.